Molecule: non-coding RNA, 96 nt
Organism: Peziza echinospora
Lineage: Eukaryota; Fungi; Ascomycota; Pezizomycetes; Pezizales; Pezizaceae
Source: the annotation of a GenBank genome assembly
GCUCCGUUGGUCUAGUGGUAUGAUUCUCGCUUAGGGUUAAACCCUGAGUACUUUCGAGUUUGCGAGAGGUCCCGUGUUCAAACCACGGAUGGAGCC